This 253-nucleotide ribosomal RNA is filed under the name uncultured bacterium. RNAcentral describes it as "partial 16S ribosomal RNA". It matches the Rfam family "Bacterial small subunit ribosomal RNA", at positions 524 to 776 of the family's 1533-position model. The record is from RNAcentral.
UACGUAGGGUGCGAGCGGUGUCCGGAAUUAUUGGGCGUAAAGAGCUCGUAGGCGGUCUGUCGCGUCUGCUGUGAAAUCCCGAGGCUCAACCUCGGGCUUGCAGUGGGUACGGGCAGGCUAGAGUGCGGUAGGGGAGAAUGGAACUCCUGGUGUAGCGGUGGAAUGCGCAGAUAUCAGGAAGAACACCGAUGGCGAAGGCAGUUCUCUGGGCCGUAACUGACGCUGAGGAGCGAAAGCGUGGGGAGCGAACAGG